Molecule: RNA transcript, 4543 nt
Organism: Panicum virgatum (switchgrass)
Lineage: Eukaryota; Viridiplantae; Streptophyta; Magnoliopsida; Poales; Poaceae
Gene name: eIF-2-alpha kinase GCN2-like
Exons: 30
Source: RefSeq, a predicted model, not a curated record
CAAACCCCCACGGCAAAACCGCGCCUUCUUCCGCCCGACGCCCCGCCCCGCCCCGCCAGGCGCCAGCGCAGAUCUCCGCGCUUCACACCCAUCGCCCUCCGCCUCCGCCUCCGCUGCCGUUUGCUUCCGGCGGGGGAGUAGGGCGACGCGCCCGCUCGCGCUCCUGCCGGCUUGACCGAUGGGGCACAGCUCGAGGAAGAAGAAGAAGCGGGGCGCGGCCGGGCGCAAGGCCGCCAAGGACCACGCCGCGCAGCUCGAGGGCGACCAGACCGCCCUCGACGAGGAGCUCACCGCCCUGACUUCGAUUUUAGGGGAGGACUUCAAAGUAAAAUCAGCAUCACCUCAGACCCGACUUAACAUAUCUAUCAGGCCCUAUUCUGAUGGCAUGGGCUUUGAAGAUCUAAAUGUUUCAGCUAUUCUUGAUGUAAUAUGCUUUCCUGGUUACCCCCACAAGUGUCCGAAGUUACGUGUUGUUCCUGAAAAAAACUUGUCUAAAGAAGAUGCAGAUCGGCUGCUUUCACUUCUUGUUGAUCAGGCAAACAUUUAUUCCCGAGAAGGGCGUGUUAUGAUUUUUGAUUUGUUUGAGGCUGCCCAAGAGUUUCUGUCCGAGAUUACUCCCACUCAUGUUUCAGCAAGCACUGCUUCUUGCUUGGGUUCGAGCUCAACUACUGAUGUAGAUGUGAAAGUUAGCCUUGGUGGUGAUCCUAACCCUGGAAUCUCUUACAUAUAUAGCUCCUUUGAUCUGUACAGUCAAUUAUAUGAUGAUACUAGUUGGAAUCGACAAGGUCCAGAUCUGACAAUGGAUAGCGGCAGGAAAAAUUCUGGCUCUCAAUUUAAAACUAAUGUUAGAAGCAAGAGGAAAACAGUCAUAAAAAAAUCUCAUGUCUCAGCUGAUAAGGCUUAUCGUGCAAAGAGCUCAUCUGGUGAUAAAGCUGAACAGCAACGUGCCGCAAAGCAUGGUGUCAUACAGGAGGCAGCUCCGAAUUUACAUGUUGUGGCAGAGGACACUGAAAAUGAUAGCAAAACCUUGUCGACUAGCAAUGCGGGAAAUACAUCAGAUACUCCAGAAAGGAGUUCGAGCAGUCUACGUGAGCCUGAGGAUGCUGACCUUGCAGACGAAGCUUGGAAUGAAGAAGAUUGUGAUUCAGACUUUAGCUCCUCAAAUGCGUCAUCUUAUGUUUCAGAUAUGUUAGAUGAUGCUUCAAGGAAUAAGAAGAGGGAUUUAAUUCUGGUACACCUGCUUCGGAUAGCCUGUUCGUCUAAGGAUUCUCUUUCAGCUGCUUUGCCAGCAAUAUCAUCAGAGCUAUGCAACAUAGGGGUUCUUUCAGAGUGGGCUAAGAAUUUAAUAUCUGACUCUCCUGUUUUUGGGGAAACAUUCAGUCAUGUUUUCGGGCAACAAAUAAUCUCUUCAGAGUGCUCUCUGUUUUGGAGAGCUGAUAAUUCAUCAUCUAUGCCGAAUUCCCGUUAUUUGAAUGAUUUUGAGGAACUCCGUUCACUUGGUCAGGGGGGCUUUGGUCGUGUUGCAUUAUGCAAAAACAAGCUAGAUGGACGGCAGUAUGCUGUAAAAAAGAUACGCCUGAAGGAUAGAAGUCCUCAAGUGAAUGAGAAAAUUUUAAGAGAGGUAGCCACACUCUCACGAUUGCAACAUCAACAUAUUGUCCGUUAUUACCAGGCAUGGGUCGAAACUGAAUACGGUCAUCAUAAUAUUUUGAAUGCCAGUGGAUCCCGCACUGCUGAGAGCUCUAUCUUUAGUUAUGACGACAUCAGCCUAUCAGAUGCAGGUGGUGGAAAUAAGCAGGAAUCCACAUACUUGUACAUCCAAAUGGAGUAUUGUCCUAGGACCCUGCGACAGGAUUUUGAGACAUACAGUUCAUCUUUUGAUGUUGAUCAUGCAUGGCACCUAUUUCGACAAAUUGUGGAAGGUCUAGCUCAUGUCCAUAGUCAAGGAAUCAUACAUCGUGACCUGACUCCAAGCAACAUAUUUUUUGAUGUUCGCAAUGAUAUUAAAAUUGGGGAUUUUGGUCUAGCCAAAUUUCUGAAGCUGGAGCAGCUAGAUCAUGACCAAUAUCUUCCUACUGAGGCAAUGGGUGUUUCAAUGGAUGGAACCGGUCAAGUUGGUACCUAUUUUUAUACUGCACCUGAGGUAGAGCAGAAAUGGCCACAGAUAAAUGAAAAGGUUGACAUGUACAGUUUGGGAGUUAUAUUCUUUGAGCUUUGGCAUCCAUUUGCCACAGCGAUGGAAAGGCAUCUUGUUCUUUCUGAUCUUAAGCAGAAGGGAGAUCUUCCAAAAUCAUGGGCAGCACAAUUUCCUGCCCAGUUAAACCUGUUAAGACGCUUACUAUCUCCAAGCCCAUCUGACCGUCCAUCUGCUGUUGAGGUCUUGCAAAGUGAACUGCCUCCUCGGAUGGAAGACGAAUGGCUAAAUGAUGUGCUUAGAAUGAUACAGACACCAGAGGACUCAUAUGUUUAUGACCGUGUUAUAUCUACAAUAUUUAAUGAGGACAGGCUGAUUUCCAAAAUGCAAUGCCAACAUGAAAGCAGCAAAAAGUCCACUGGUAACACUGAUAACAGUGAACUUUUGGAUACUAUCAUUGAGGUUGCCAAGGAGGUGUUCAAGCGACAUUGUGCUAAAAGGUUCCAAAUAUCUCCCUUGCAUACUUUGGAAGGAAGUUUUACUGAAAAUAGGGAAAAGACAGUGAAAAUCUUAACUCAAGGAGGAGAGAUGCUAGAACUUUGCUAUGAACUGCGAACACCAUUUGUUAUGUCAAUUGCUGGUAAUCAGACAUCAUCAUUCAAGCGUUAUGAAAUAUCAUGGGUUCAUAGAAGAGCUGUUGGCCAUUCAACUCCUUAUCGUUUUCUUCAGGGGGAUUUUGACAUUGUUGGCGGUGCUUCACCAAUACCAGAAGCUGAAAUCAUUAAGGUGGCUUUGGACCUUGGGACCCGUUUUUAUGAUCCCAAGGCACUAGUCAUACGUCUGAAUCAUGGCAAACUUGCUGAAGCAAUUUGCUCCUGGGCAGGAGUUUCUCAGGAACGAAGACAAAAUGUUGCUGAGUUUCUAUCUUCAACUCUUGUUCAAUAUUGGCCAAAUAAGGCUGACCGCAAGUCACAGUGGAGUUUGAUUAGGGGGCAACUGUUGCAGGAUCUCCGACUUUCUGAAGAAGUUGUUGAGAAGCUACAUAAAGCAGAUCAGAGGUUUUGUGGCUCUGCAGAUCAAGUACUUGCUAGAUUAAGAGGGACCCUGUUCUAUGAUAAAUCUGCUUGCAAGGCUCUUGAUGAUCUAUCUGCACUUCUGAAAUGUUUGAGAGUAUGGUUGGUAGAAGUGUAGAACCAGUUACUAUUGAUGUCCUCAUGCCUCCCUCAGAAUGUUACUAUACAGAUUUGUUUUUCCAGGUAUACUCAAAAGAAGGUAAUCAUGGACCAAGUUUCCAUGAAAAGUUGCUGGCAGUUGGUGGGCGAUAUGAUUGGUUGAUGGAACAAGCUUGGGAUAAGGCACAUAAAUCCAAACCCCCAGGUGCUGUUGGUGUGAGCAUUGCACUUGAGAAAUUCCUUCCUAACAAUCCUUCAUCUGAUCUGGGGCUGCCAAGGUUACUGUCCAGGAUUGAACCUAGCAUCAGUGUACUUGUGUGUUCAAAGGGUGGUGGCGGUCUGUUAAAUGAGCGCAUGGAACUUGUUUCAGAGCUUUGGAAAGCUAACAUAAAGGCUCAGUUUGUUCCUCAGGAAGACCCAAGUCUGCAAGAACAGUAUGAAUAUGCCAGUGAUCAUGACAUCAAAUGCCUCGUAUUUAUCACGGAAUCAGGUCUCUCACAGACAGAUCUCGUGAAGGUUCGGCAUCUUGAUUUUAAAAGGGAGAAGGAUGUUAAAAGAGAGGAACUUACAAAGUUCUUAUCUGACGCAAUAUGUUCACAGUUCAAAAAUCCUACUAUAUGGAGCGUUACCAGUGGCCCUCCUUAGUCAUUUUGUGUUCAGAAUGAGCCAAAUUUGUGGCUUCUGGUGUCUCUUAAACUUCCAGGUGAAACCAGUGUUAUCUGUUCAAACAUUGUCUGGGCACACCACAAUCAUGCAUUCUGGCUUCCAGCAAAAAUGGUAAGGCAUGGCUCUCAGCAGUCUCGUCUGCUCUUCCAUGGACCGAGGGCCAACGUUACACCCUGUGCCCUCAACCGAAGAUAUGCACAGUGUUUGGCCAAUUGGUGUGGUCCUGGUUGAACUUUUUGAGGACCAAAGCCAUGCAGGGUAGCUUCAAAAUACAAGGUGGCAGGUAGUUGGUGCAAUUCUGCAAGUUUGGGGUUAUUGGAUAGACGGAGAGUUUGCUCCUGCAAAGUGCACGGUAGCACAAUUGCUAUGCGACAGACCAUUCUUUCUUUGCGUGUGAUUAAUUUUCAAUAGGAUUGCCUUGUACUUGGUCCGUUUUGUUGUUUUGUUGCAGUACAUGUACAUUGUUGGUUUUGGGGUAAAAAAUGUACAUUCUUGGGUUGCUGAUUGGAAAUGCUCAUUUCUGCAACCGCCUGUGCUUCGUAGUCAUAUAUGCAAUGGUAAAGAGCACUAA